CAAAUUGAUCAGUAACUAUUCUAGAAUUUUGUGUUUUUUAAGUCGGUUCGUUUUUGUUUCUUUUUUGCUCCAUUUAGUAACUGUUAAGAAAACUGAAUGUAUAUCUAUGUUUUUACUUAAGUUGUUAAUACCAUUUUGUGUGCCAAUUAUGAUUAAUCCUUCUUCUGUUUUGCUUUCCAUAAUCUGUUUUCUUAAUUUGUAUAUAUCUGUAUCCAGAAUCUCUGAGACGAAGCUGCUGAUUUGGGUUUCUUUUCGAUUUCAAUAAUUUUCCAAGCGCUGGAAGUUUCUGUGAAGUUUAAUUAGUUGAUUUACCAAAAUGGGAGUAUUCAAUUUCAUUGUGAUUCCGAUUCUAGAUGACGACCGGUAUCCUCCUUCCUCCAGCUCUUCAAAAUCUUGAUUUGAGAAUGAGAUUGUUGUUGUUGUUGGAAAAGGAGGACCUACUGAAGUGAUGUCUGAAUAUGGCUUUAAGUACACUCAUUGAUGAUCUUUCUCAUGUAAUAUACAUAUUUUAUCACAAUUAAUAUCUUUUGGACGAUGGAGGGGUCAAAUACUAUUGUGGAUUUGUUGGUAGCUUGAAUACAAUACUUUAUUGCUUGGUGUUGCCUUGCAACUAAAUGAAGCAUGUAAGCUUAAUGCAAUUUUAGUUUUAGUGUUUUCCUAUCAUGUAGUUUUUCCUUC
Molecule: long non-coding RNA, 678 nt
Organism: Capsicum annuum
Lineage: Eukaryota; Viridiplantae; Streptophyta; Magnoliopsida; Solanales; Solanaceae
Exons: 2
Source: RefSeq, a predicted model, not a curated record